CAAAGGAUAUUCUUCCCCCCAUCCAGUCUCGCAUUACGCGGCUAGACACGCGCGCAUUUAUCCGACACGCCAGGCAAAAUUAACACGGCCCCUCAAGCAACUCGACGCGCACCGCACCGGCACACCGAGAGACGCUUCCGCCAUGCAACGCGUUCCUCCCUUUUUUCGGACACCGCGAAGCUGCCUCGACAGCGGUUAUCUUAUCGCGAGCGAUCUUCGCUAAUGCAUUCAUCGCGCCGUAAAACAUCGUCAACAGAGAAAAUGAACGCCGAAGAGGCCAUGCACGUUAAAUCCGGCGAAAUUGAUAGUCCCUGCAAGACGUACGCGAGUGGCAAGGGUGGAAGAAAUCGAAGGGAUCGAGAGCGCUCGGUUGUGAACCCGUCAUUGAAACUGAUCGCUCCACGCGGGAGGCACGCCGCUCCUUGCAUCUUAUUCAUGAACGAUCAUCUACUUCUGAACGCCACACGUCCUCAAUAGCCCACCUGUGAACUCGGAGUAACACCGUGAAAUUUUUCGAAUCCCAGGCAGAGACGACAGGGAGAGUGCAUUGAGCAUUGGUUCCUUUCGAGUCCUUCAUUCACUGUCUCGCUGAAUCCGGUACCAUCUGGUCCUCCACCUGUGCCCAGUCAACUGUUCCUCCGCCAGUGCAACCAGUGCGAGUCCGGUUUCAAUCUCGGAUGUCUUUUAGCAUUUUAUCUCACGGCGACAAGGUAAGAUAGAGCAAGUAAGAUAAUAUCGAUGCGCGUUUAAAGGCCCGCAUGCCGCCUCGUCUUGCCUUCUCGUACAGACAAAAUUUUGCACCUUGAUGUCGAAACAAUCGGAGGCCGGAGUGCGAGAGUCGUUGAUCUUUUUCGAUAAGAAAACGCUGAGGAAUGAUCACAUAAGAAUUCCCAGAUUUGCAUGUAU
Molecule: long non-coding RNA, 906 nt
Organism: Wasmannia auropunctata (little fire ant)
Lineage: Eukaryota; Metazoa; Arthropoda; Insecta; Hymenoptera; Formicidae
Exons: 4
Source: RefSeq, a predicted model, not a curated record